This 375-nucleotide ribosomal RNA is filed under the name uncultured bacterium. RNAcentral describes it as "bacterial SSU rRNA". It matches the Rfam family "Bacterial small subunit ribosomal RNA", at positions 28 to 404 of the family's 1533-position model. The record is from RNAcentral.
GACGAACGCUGGCGGCGUGCUUAACACAUGCAAGUCGAGCGGUAAGGCCCUUUCGGGGGUACACGAGCGGCGAACGGGUGAGUAACACGUGGGUGACCUGCCUUUAGCUCUGGGAUAAGCCUGGGAAACUGGGUCUAAUACCGGAUAUGACCCUAUGGCGCAUGUUGUGGGGUGGAAAGCCUUGUGCGGCCAGGGAUGGGCCCGCGGCCUAUCAGCUUGUUGGUGGGGUGAUGGCCUACCAAGGCGACGACGGGUAGCCGGCCUGAGAGGGCGACCGGCCACACUGGGACUGAGACACGGCCCAGACUCCUACGGGAGGCAGCAGUGGGGAAUCUUGCGCAAUGGGCGAAAGCCUGACGCAGCGACGCCGCGUGA